Molecule: unclassified non-coding RNA, 405 nt
Filed under: soil metagenome
Description: partial contains 5.8S ribosomal RNA, internal transcribed spacer 2, and large subunit ribosomal RNA
Rfam family: 5.8S ribosomal RNA (bases 1-121)
Source: RNAcentral
GAUGAAGAACGCAGCAAAAUGCGAUAAGUAAUGUGAAUUGCAGAAUUCAGUGAAUCAUCGAAUCUUUGAACGCACCUUGCGCCCUUUGGCUAUUCCAGAGGGCAUGCCUGUUUGAGUAUCAUGAACACCUCAACUCUCAUGGUUCUGCCAUGAUGAGCUUGGACUUUGGAGGUCUUGCUGGCCCCUGUGGUCAGCUCCUCUCAAAUGGAUCAGCUUGCCAGUGUUUGGUGGCAUCACAGGUGUGAUAACUAUCUACGCUUGUGGUUUUCCACCAGGUAACCUUCAGUGAUGGAGGUUCGCUGGAGCUCAUAAACGUCUCUCCUCAGCGAGGACAGCUUCUUGAACGUUUGAUCUCAAAUCAGGUAGGGCUACCCGCUGAACUUAAGCAUAUCAAUAAGCGGAGGA